UUUUUUUUGGUGAGCUUGUCCCUUCCUUAGGAUAAAAAUAAAAGCUUCACAGUGGUAGAAAGUAGAAAAUGAAGCACUCCUGAGUCAUAUCUCUGUCUCUUCCACCAACUCUUCUCAGAGAGAAAUGUCUGCUCUGUCCCCCUUUCACUGCUAUGUUGAUUGGAGAUGUUGUGAGGGGUAAUUAUGGAUUAGGCCAAAUUUCAUACACCAGUAAAGAUCAAUAUCUCUUCACAGACUGUACUGGGCUACUGGAACAUGAGACAAAGGAGGGUAUACGUGGGCUAUGGGGUGCCACCCAACUGCCAGGCCCAGGUGCCGUCAGGGCCUGAGCAGGCCCAGCUGGCCCUCACUGCCCACAGCCUGGGUGCCAUUUAAGCUGGGCCCUGGGGGCCUGCAGUCCCUCAGGGCUGGGUUGUUCCUCAGUGUGUUUAUAGCCCUGUCUGUCUGUGUGCCCUGGAACUGUCCCUAGGUGUCCACAGGGCUGCCUGGUGAUGGCUGGGCAAGGCAGACUUUAGGGCAUGCCUGAUGGAGCUGUAACCUGCUGCAACUUUUCAAGCCUUCUUCAGACUAGGUAGGGGCAGGCUACUGACACACUGCUAUAAGCUGUGGUGCUAGAAGGAAGGUACUUCAUACAGAAGACUUGUAACUGAAUACAGUGAGGAAGAUGUGGAAGAAACUAUGGUGCGUAUUUAUACUGCAACUCUAACAACAAAGAAAAAUGGAAAACAAAACAGCACAUUUACAAUAUGUCACCCUAAAGGAUAUCUAAGCUGAGGUAGUAAAGGCAUUCUCAAAAACACUAACAGCAGAUCACACCGGUUAAAACAAAGGCCAGAUUUAUCGUACCCCAACGAUUCAGAGUGGUGUACGCAAAGUAAUGUCACACUAUUCAAUGGCUUCCAAAUGUGUGGUCUGCUUCUGUUUUCAGCUUUUUCCUAACCUUUCUGCUUUUUCUCCUCUCUCCUUCUCCCAAACACCUCACAUUCUCUGCGUUCCAGUAUAUGAUGUUGAUCUUCCUAUUUGAAGCGUGCCUAGACAGGUGAUAAGAAAAAAUAGGCAUAACUUUUUCAUGUAUUUAAUUUUUAAAUCAUAAAAGAUUAUC
Molecule: long non-coding RNA, 1102 nt
Organism: Cygnus olor (mute swan)
Lineage: Eukaryota; Metazoa; Chordata; Aves; Anseriformes; Anatidae
Exons: 3
Source: RefSeq, a predicted model, not a curated record